This is a long non-coding RNA of Aquila chrysaetos chrysaetos, 1856 nucleotides long. RefSeq lists it as uncharacterized. Lineage: Eukaryota; Metazoa; Chordata; Aves; Accipitriformes; Accipitridae. The transcript has 3 exons. The record is from RefSeq and is a predicted model, not a curated record.
CUCCCUUCCCCCUCCCACACGACUUCCUCGCUUGACGGCUGUGGCGGUUUGGCGGGGGGCAGCGGUGUCGGAGGUUUGUCCUAUGGUGCUCUGCUGUGGCACAGCUGAGGGGUUUAUGAACCGCCUCCUUGUGAGCUGAAGAGGUACUUUCAACCAAAUGGUUAACAUCAAAAGUGACAACUCAUGUUGAGUGGGCACCUGAAGACUUCUGGGUCCUACAGUUCUACAGUGUGGUCUACUGUAUAUCAUACAGUCUUUCAGUCAUUCUGAGCACAGCAAUCACUGACACCUCUUUGCAGCUACAUGUACCCAAAGCUUUUGUGAAUUCAGAGAAUGGAUUUUCUGUACCCCAGAGGAGGAAAAUUCACUGGCCAUCUUCAGAAAUUGGAUUUGAGUGACUUCCUCAAUUCCACAAAUAAUUCAGCAAGAAUAUGAUCUAUUCUGUCUACAAUCACUUACAUUCAUUCCUUCUAUAACUUCCAGGCUUUGUUGCAACAAAUCAGGCAGAGUUCUGAUGAGAAAACAGUCCCAUUGACUACAUUCAUGUGAAAAAUGAGGGUGUUACAUUUUUUACCUUUACAAAUACAAGAUACAGGUCACUUUAUUUUGUUUGCAUUCUUCUACAUGAUUAAAAAGAGUUACAUUGAAGGAUACUGUAAAAGAAGGUGCAAAUAGAAAACAAUUCCAUCACAAAGAAGGAUGAAAUGCAGUCCAGGAAAGCACAAAUAACUCUUGAAGUUACAGGGGGGAAGCUGCUAAAAAGGAACGCCCUUACCUGUUUCCAGUGACAAAGACGGGGUGUUUAUUGUUCUUAUGCCUGAGAUGACUCAAAAUGGGCACUAAAACUGUAAAAGUUACUGCCCUAAGGAAGGGGGUUUGUGGAGUCAACAACAGCUGGACAUGCCUGUGGCAUCUCAUAAGCGGCCUCUCCCAAACUGGAGAGGGGAAAAACUAGAAUGGAGAGAACCUGCAAAAAUCCUGGAAAGAUGACAGGAGAGUUACGGUUCUGGUGUCAAAACUUUGCUUUCUCUGCUGCCUAUCUCUGAGAGAAUAAAGCUUUGCUUUGAAGGAGCUGCCACUGAGUCAGUUUAGUUAGCUAGUGUCACAGAACAAACUGUUGCAAAAUAGGGAUUUUCAGCUCGUGAACACAGUCUAAAAAAUGACAGAAAGCAAUGGCAUGUUUCUGUGCAGAAAGACUAAGUUAAUGAAAAUUGCCGGAGGGAUGCACUUAAGAGGAGCUACCAAGGCACCUCAUCCUGUAAUGGUGACAAGUUCCUUGAUUCAUUUCCUGAGCCCUAUCCAUUCUUGCACUUAAUGUGAUGGGAAGCUAUGUAUUCUCCACGGAGGCUGGCUGCACAUUUCUUCUGAAGUAAACUUUGCGGAAGUCACCGGUGCCUUUGUUACCUCCACCUGGGCUUCUGUACUUUUCUAUUUAUGAGUCCCCUUUGAAGCGUGCCUGAAAGAUCCAGUUCCCAAGAAAGCUACUACCCACUCCCUGAGCAGUGCCGCACAGCACGAGCAAGCUGCACCAGAGACUCGGCACUGGCUUGCUGUUUACUGAUCAACUUUAAAGCCCAGAGCACUCAAGGAAAAGGUUUUCUAAGGGGCUCCUCUCCCUCUGUGCCCACUCGCUGCCUUGCUACCAGGUGGAGAGUAAUGUCUGUCUGGGAACCAAGUCUCAAUAUGUGAAAGUCAACCUGGAUGAUAAAGAAAAUGGUUUUAAAAUUUGAGUUAGAAAGCCCGGGUUAAACAAAAUCAUUUGAAUCCAUCCUUGUAAUUCUGUGUCUGAACAAAAUAAUGUAUUUUAAGUAGCACAGACUAAAUGGCUUUGGGGAAAUUAAAACAAGAUAAACAAA